RNAcentral lists this transfer RNA (76 nucleotides) under Caldilineaceae bacterium. RNAcentral's name for it is "tRNA-Thr". It matches the Rfam family "tRNA". From Rfam's summary of the family: Transfer RNA (tRNA) molecules are approximately 80 nucleotides in length. Lineage: Bacteria; Bacillati; Chloroflexota; Caldilineae; Caldilineales; Caldilineaceae. The record is from RNAcentral.
GCCGUUGUAGCUCAGUUGGUAGAGCGACGCACUCGUAAUGCGUAGGUCAUCGGUUCGACUCCGAUCAACGGCUCCA